This 473-nucleotide long non-coding RNA is filed under the name Callithrix jacchus (white-tufted-ear marmoset). RNAcentral's name for it is "lncRNA (ENSCJAG00000052474.2)". The record is from RNAcentral. Lineage: Eukaryota; Metazoa; Chordata; Mammalia; Primates; Cebidae.
CACGCUUGAAGCCCAGAAAGGGAUGGACAUCUGCCAGCAUUUUCUGUCUGUUGCUCUACCUUUUCCAGCAUAAUGAAUCUGUGGCCUCCAGAGAACAUUCUACAAGGACUGUGACGCAGGACACCUGCAGGGAGACCUGGCUCUCAUGAGCAGCUUCCACUUUGUGUGCAGCCUCCUUUGCAAGCCAGACCCCAUGCAACCUGUUGAGAAACCACAUUGCCAUAACUAACCCAUCAAGUCAAUUCUACCACCCCAUGGUGGAAACGCUCAGUGUGUCUACUCCAAACCUUCUUUGUUGAAAUACUUGUGCCAUUUAUUUGGAGGCAUCCUAUAGCCAACCAGAGUGUUGGGGACUCCAUAGCCAUGUGGAAAAGCAUGCGCUCCUGUGCUUACUUCCGGGAUGACGGAAGCCAACCACCUGACUGGGAAUUGAACGACAGAAGCCGUGAAAUCACAGUGAAACUCCAUGACGU